GCGCGAAAACUUUGCAAUGCGGGAAACCGUGACAAGGGAACUCUGAGUGCCCGUAAAAUCGGGCUGUCCAUCAGUUUAAAUAACUGGUGAAGAAAGGGCCGGGCAAGACCGGUGCCAGCCGCCGCGGUAAUACCGGCGGCUCGAGUGGUGGCCACUAUUACUGGGCUUAAAGCGUUCGUAGCUGGUUUGUUAAGUCUCUGGGGAAAUCUUCCGGCUUAACCGGAAGGCGUCUCAGGGAUACUGGCAGACUAGGGACCGGAAGAGGUGAGAGGUACUCCAGGNGUAGGA
Molecule: ribosomal RNA, 288 nt
Filed under: uncultured archaeon
Lineage: Archaea
Description: partial 16S ribosomal RNA
Rfam family: Archaeal small subunit ribosomal RNA
Source: RNAcentral